AGAGUAAGAACUGGAGGAAGGUGGGGAUGACGUCAAAUCAUCAUGCCCCUUAUGACCUGGGCUACAAACGUGAUACAAUGGCUGGAACAAAGGGAGGCGAAGGGGUGACCUGGAGCGAAACCCAAAAAUACAGUCUCAGUUCGGAUUGAAGUCUGCAACUCGACUUCAUGAAGUCGGAAUCGCUAGUAAUCGCGGAUCAGAACGCCGCGGUGAAUACGUUCUCGGGUUU
This 229-nucleotide ribosomal RNA is filed under the name uncultured Acholeplasma sp. Its description in RNAcentral is "partial 16S ribosomal RNA". It matches the Rfam family "Bacterial small subunit ribosomal RNA", at positions 1154 to 1381 of the family's 1533-position model. Lineage: Bacteria; Bacillati; Mycoplasmatota; Mollicutes; Acholeplasmatales; Acholeplasmataceae. The record is from RNAcentral.